Molecule: long non-coding RNA, 1754 nt
Filed under: Salmo salar (Atlantic salmon)
Lineage: Eukaryota; Metazoa; Chordata; Actinopteri; Salmoniformes; Salmonidae
Description: lncRNA (ENSSSAG00000109864.1)
Source: RNAcentral
UUAUUAAAAGCAUAAAUGAAGUUAUUGUCAUCAUUAACAUUUAUGAAUAAACAAUAUAAGUUAGAUUCUAAUUUACCUUUUUGCAUGUAGUCAUAUUUCCUCUUCCUUGGUCGGGGUUGGAUGGGGUAGGAUGGGGUUGGAUGGGGUUGGAUACGGUUGGAUGGGGUAGGAUGGGGUAGGAUGGGGUUGGAUGGGGUAGGAUGGGGUUGGAUGGGGUUGGAUAGGAUUGGAUGGGGUUGGUAGGUAGGAUGGGGUUGGAUGGGGUAGGAUGGGGUUGGAUGGGGUUGGAUAGGAUUGGAUGGGGUUGACUGUCAUGCUCAGUGAGUUGGAGGGUUUUUUGAGGGUGACAGGACUUUCUCUCCGUCUUCUUUGGUUUGGUGUGGGUGUAGCUGGUCUCCUGAGUGGUGGGGGAUAUUGGGGGUUCAACCUGGUUGAGGAUGGGGGUGUAGCUGGUCUCCUGAGUGGUGGGGGAUAUCGGGGGUUCAACCUGGUUGAGGAUGGGGGUGUAGCUGGGCUCCUGAGUGGUGGGGGAUAUUGGGAGUUCAACCUGGUUGAGGAGGGUUGGAGGGUUGUAGUGUGGGGGUAUGGGUGUUGAUUGCCACUGUGAAAUAGAACAUAUUAAGGAAAUGGGACAGACAAGUGGGCAACAGUUUCCAAUUGGCAGAGGUGAGCAUGUACCGUAAAUUCCGGACUAUAAGCCGCAACUUUUUUUCCCAGGCUUUGAACCUCGCGGCUUAAACAAUGAAGUGGCUAAUAUAUGGAUUUUUCCCACUUUCAAUUUUUUUCUCUCCAAAAAAACACAUUCUGUGACGUGCUCAGUUUUUUGGCGGCAUGAAGCUUUCAUUAGACCAAUGAAAUUGCCGAACGGGUUAAGGUCAAACAACUUUUUUGUUUACUGUUUAGAUUAAAUCGAGCGCUCUCAAACUUCCCAUCAUUCUGAUUACGGUAGUCAUUUCGUCACCCUCAUCAUGGCAAAGACACGGAGAAAUGCAUAUGAUGCAGCUUUCAAGUUGAAGGCGAUUGAUCUGGCUGUUGGAAAAGGAAAUAGAGCUGCUGCACGGGAGCUUGGUAUUAAUGAGUCGAUGAUAAGACGUUGGAAACAGCAGCGUGAGGAAUUGACUCAGGGCAAAAAGACAACUAAAGCUUACUGCUAUUUUUUUUAUUUUUUUACAAGCCGUGUUUUGUUAAAGCCUAUUUAUUUUUGUUACAGGCCGUGUUUCGUUAAAGCCUAUUUAUUUUUGUUACAAGCCGUUUUUCGUUAAAGCCUGUGUAAAGUUCAUUUGUUUCAAUGUACCGGUAGGCACCUGCGGCUUAUAGACAUGUGCGGCUUAUUUAUGUUCAAAAUAAAAAAAACAUUUUAAUUCAGUGGGUGCGGCUUAUAUUCAGGUGCGCUUAAUAGUCCAGAAAUUCCGGUAUAUUUAAGCAAUAAGGCCCGAGGUGUGGUAUAUGGCAAUAUACCACGGCUAAGGGCUGUUCUUAUGCAUGACGCAAUGCGGAGUGCCUGGAUACAGCCCUUAACUGUGAUAUAUUGGCCAUAUACCACAAACCCCUGAGGUGCCUUAUUGCUAUUAUAAACUGGCUACCAAUGUAAUUAGAGCAGUAAAAAUAAAUGUUUUGUCAUACGGUCUGAUAUACCAAGGCAUUCAGACAAUCAGCAUUCAGGGCUGGAACCACCCAUUUUAUAAAUAAACUUCUACACAGGAUAUGUGAAAAGAAUGUGUUGAAAUGUUGCUUGCCUGAACUAACUCCUCUAC